This is a long non-coding RNA of Magnolia sinica, 645 nucleotides long. RefSeq lists it as uncharacterized. NCBI's taxonomy places the organism in Eukaryota, Viridiplantae, Streptophyta, Magnoliopsida, Magnoliales, Magnoliaceae. The transcript is spliced from 4 exons. The record is from RefSeq and is a predicted model, not a curated record.
AUUUCACAUGGUUGCGCUAGAGUGGCAGCACGUGCUUGUGGCCUAGUAGGUCUGGAGCCUACAAGGGUUGCAGAAAUCCUCAAAGAUCACCCAUCAUGGUUUCGAGAUUGCCGAUUUGUGGAUGUUAUAAACGUGCUGCCCACCAGCAAUGGUGGAACCAUUGAGCUGCUCUAUAUGCAGGUAGGUAGUGGUUUCUGUGGGCUUACCAUAUGUAGUGGAAUACUUGUGAAACAUCAAAUUAGUGUGGGUCUCAAUCUUUGGUUGCUGAAUUGCGGCUCUAUGCCCCGACAACGUUGGCACCAGCACGCGACUUCUGGUUGCUGCGCUACACUUCAGUUUUGGAAGAUGGCAGCCUUGUGGUCUGUGAGAGAUCUAUUAGCAGCACUCAGGGUGGUCCAAGCAUGCAACCCGUGCAUCCUUUUGUGAGAGCAGAAAUGUUGCUGAGUGGGUACCUCAUAAGGCCUUGUGAAGGAGGCGGGUCAAUGAUACACAUUGUUGAUCAUAUGGAUUUGGAGCCAUGGAGUGUACCUGAAGUGUUACGCCCACUCUAUGAAUCAUCUACGGUGCUUGCUCAGAAGAUGACAAUGGCGGUUGGAACCAAUCUUCCAUUUCCUAAAAUUUGAAAGUUUCCUUUCACCAUGGGCC